AUUGAACGCUGGCGGCAGGCCUAACACAUGCAAGUCGAGCGGAUGAAGGGAGCUUGCUCCUGGAUUCAGCGGCGGACGGGUGAGUAAUGCCUAGGAAUCUGCCUGUUAGUGGGGGAUAACGUCCGGAAACGGGCGCUAAUACCGCAUACGUCCUGAGUGAGAAAGUGGGGGAUCUUCGGACCUCACGCUAUCAGAUGAGCCUAGGUCGGAUUAGCUAGUUGGUGGGGUAAAGGCCUACCAAGGCGACGAUCCGUAACUGGUCUGAGAGGAUGAUCAGUCACACUGGAACUGAGACACGGUCCAGACUCCUACGGGAGGCAGCAGUGGGGAAUAUUGGACAAUGGGCGAAAGCCUGAUCCAGCCAUGCCGCGUGUGUGAAGAAGGUCUUCGGAUUGUAAAGCACUUUAAGUUGGGAGGAAGGGCAGUAAGUUAAUACCUUGCUGUUUUGACGUUACCAACAGAAUAAGCACCGGCUAACUUCGUG
RNAcentral lists this ribosomal RNA (484 nucleotides) under uncultured bacterium. RNAcentral describes it as "partial 16S ribosomal RNA". It matches the Rfam family "Bacterial small subunit ribosomal RNA", at positions 30 to 507 of the family's 1533-position model. The record is from RNAcentral.